GACGAACGCUGGCGGCGUGCUUAACACAUGCAAGUCGAACGGAAAGGCCCUGCUUUUGUUGGGUGCUCGAGUGGCGAACGGGUGAGUAACACGUGAGUAACCUGCCCCUGACUUUGGGAUAACUUCAGGAAACUGGGGCUAAUACAGGAUAGGAGCUCCUGCUGCAUGGUGGGGGUUGGAAAGUUUCGGCGGUGGUGGAUGGACUCGCGGCUUAUCAGCUUGUUGGUGGGGUAGUGGCUUACCAAGGCUUUGACGGGUAGCCGGCCUGAGAGGGGGACCGGCCACAUUGGGACUGAGAGACGGCCCAGACUCCUACGGGAGGCAGCAGUGGGGAAUAUGGCACAAUGGGCGGAAGCCUGAUGCAGCAACGCCGCGUGCGGGAUGCCGGCCUUCGGGUUGUAAACCGCUUUCGCCUGUGACGAAGCGUGAGUGACGGUAAUGGGUAAAGAAGCACCGGCUAACUACGUG
Molecule: ribosomal RNA, 468 nt
Filed under: uncultured bacterium
Lineage: Bacteria
Description: partial 16S ribosomal RNA
Rfam family: Bacterial small subunit ribosomal RNA
Source: RNAcentral